RNAcentral lists this unclassified non-coding RNA (329 nucleotides) under plant metagenome. Its description in RNAcentral is "partial contains 5.8S ribosomal RNA, internal transcribed spacer 2, and large subunit ribosomal RNA". The stretch from base 1 to 105 matches the Rfam family "5.8S ribosomal RNA", at positions 50 to 154 of the family's 154-position model. The record is from RNAcentral.
GAAAUGCGAUAAGUAAUGUGAAUUGCAGAAUUCCGUGAAUCAUCGAAUCUUUGAACGCACAUUGCGCCCUCUGGUAUUCCGGGGGGCAUGCCUGUCCGAGCGUCAUUGCGACCCCCUCAAGCACGGCUUGUGUGAUGGGCCCUCCCGCGUCUUGGUCGUCAAGACGGGCCCGAAAUGCAGUGGCGGCUUCGCGGUUAUCCGAUCAGCCAGAGCGUAUGGGGACUUUCUCUCUGUCACACGCCCGCGGCGCGGACCGACGCCUGUCGACCUUUAUUCAUCUUUUUCUCGGUUGACCUCGGAUCAGGUAGGGAUACCCGCUGAACUUAAGC